RNAcentral lists this ribosomal RNA (378 nucleotides) under Triticum aestivum (bread wheat). Its description in RNAcentral is "partial small subunit ribosomal RNA". Lineage: Eukaryota; Viridiplantae; Streptophyta; Magnoliopsida; Poales; Poaceae. The record is from RNAcentral.
AUGGCUUCUUCCGGUUCCGUGGCGAGGCCACCGUGUGCUAACCGCGAGGACAUGCCGGACAAGUGGACAGACGCCGAGUUGGAUAAGGUGAAGGACAAAGAUAUGAGAACUCCAUCAUGUUGGUGUGGAGAUGUUUGCAAAGUUAAGGUAUCCACCGACCGCAAGAAAUCAUGGACGGAAGGAAGAAGAUAUUUUGUUUGUCCCAACUAUGCCUACGAUCGUCCUCGUCCAGCUCACGCCUAUGAUGUACCGCCGGUAAGUUGUUCAAGUUCAAACAUGUCGUCAACCAUUGAAUCUAUCUUACUAAUGACCACAUUUGUUCUUUAUUUGUACGUACGUAGUCGCCGCCUCCACUUUGUAAGUACUUCAGAUGGAUAG